UCUGAUUCUGCAUGUAUUAGGUUGGUGCAAAAGUAAUCGCGGUUUUUGUCAUUGAAAGUAAUAGCAAAAACUGCAAUUACUUUUGCACCAACCUAAAAGUAGUCACUGUCUUCAGAUA
Molecule: microRNA precursor, 118 nt
Organism: Gorilla gorilla gorilla (western lowland gorilla)
Lineage: Eukaryota; Metazoa; Chordata; Mammalia; Primates; Hominidae
Gene: MIR548H3
Product: microRNA 548h-3
Source: Ensembl